CUGCUCUUCUUCUAUCCGGUUCGAUGCCUUGUUUUUUACCCCGCCCUGCUUCUCAAAAACAUGUCCUAUUGGUUUAUUUAGUAGGUCAGACCUGCCCAGUGAAAUAUUUAACGGCCGCGGUAUACUGACCGUGCAAAGGUAGCAUAAUCAUUAGUCUUUUAAUAGGAGGCUGGAAUGAAUGGUUCGACGAAAAAUUUACUGUCUCAAUUAUAAAUUUGAAUUUAUCUUUUAAGUUAAAAGGCUUAACUUUUGUUGAUGGACGAGAAGACCCUAUAGAGCUUUACACUUUCAUUUUUAUGAAUAUAUAGUUUAUAAUUUAUUCUUAAACUUUAAAUGUGUUAGGUUGGGGUGACAAUAAAUAUAUAUUUAACUUUUAUUAUUAUAUAAACAUUAAUUUAUGAUUUUUUGAUCCAAAAUUUUUGAUUAAUAGAUUAAGUUACCUUAGGGAUAACAGCGUUAUCUUCCCCCAGAGUUCUUAUUUACGGGAAGGUUUGCGACCUCGAUGUUGGAUUAAGAUAAUAAUUAGGUGUAGCAGCUUAAUUAAUAGGUCUGUUCGACCCGAAGUGCUAAGAUUUUAGUACGCUA
RNAcentral lists this ribosomal RNA (585 nucleotides) under Amphiallagma parvum. Its description in RNAcentral is "partial large subunit ribosomal RNA". It matches the Rfam family "Archaeal large subunit ribosomal RNA", at positions 1912 to 2685 of the family's 2987-position model. Lineage: Eukaryota; Metazoa; Arthropoda; Insecta; Odonata; Coenagrionidae. The record is from RNAcentral.